AGUCACUGACAUUAGAUACCCCUGUAGUCCCAGCCGUAAACAAUGUGCGUUAGGUGUGUCGGUAACCACGCGUUACUGAUGCGCCGAAGAGAAAUCGUGAAACGCACCACCUGGGAAGUACGGUCGCAAGGCUGAAACUUAAAGGAAUUGGCGGGGGAGCACCACAACAGGUGGAGCCUGCGGUUUAAUUGGAUUCAACGCCGGACAUCUCACCGAAUAAGACAGCUGAAUGAUUGUCAAUCUGAAGGUUUUACAUGACUAGCUG
RNAcentral lists this ribosomal RNA (265 nucleotides) under uncultured archaeon. RNAcentral describes it as "partial 16S ribosomal RNA". It matches the Rfam family "Archaeal small subunit ribosomal RNA", at positions 718 to 982 of the family's 1478-position model. The record is from RNAcentral.